RNAcentral lists this ribosomal RNA (491 nucleotides) under uncultured bacterium. RNAcentral's name for it is "partial 16S ribosomal RNA". It matches the Rfam family "Bacterial small subunit ribosomal RNA", at positions 29 to 507 of the family's 1533-position model. The record is from RNAcentral.
AGUGAACGCUGGCGGUAGGCCUACCCCUGCAAGUCGCACGGCAGCACAGUAAGAGCUUGCUCUUACGGGUGGCGAGUGGCGGACGGGUGAGGAAUACAUCGGAAUCUACUUUUUCGUGGGGGAUAACGUAGGGAAACUUACGCUAAUACCGCAUACGACCUACGGGUGAAAGCCGGGGAUCUUCGGACCUUUCGCGAUUGAAUGAGCCGAUGUCGGAUUAGCUAGUUGGCGGGGUAAAGGCCCACCAAGGCGACGAUCCGUAGCUGGUCUGAGAGGAUGAUCAGCCACACUGGAACUGAGACACGGUCCAGACUCCUACGGGAGGCAGCAGUGGGGAAUAUUGGACAAUGGGCGCAAGCCUGAUCCAGCCAUACCGCGUGGGUGAAGAAGGCCUUCGGGUUGUAAAGCCCUUUUGUUGGGAAAGAAAAGCAGCAGGUUAAUACCCCGCUGUUCUGACGGUACCCAAAGAAUAAGCACCGGCUAACUUCGUG